UGGGGAAUAUUGCACAAUGGGCGCAAGCCUGAUGCAGCCAUGCCGCGUGUAUGAAGAAGGCCUUCGGGUUGUAAAGUACUUUCAGCGGGGAGGAAGGGAGUAAAGUUAAUACCUUUGCUCAUUGACGUUACCCGCAGAAGAAGCACCGGCUAACUCCGUGCCAGCAGCCGCGGUAAUACGGAGGGUGCAAGCGUUAAUCGGAAUUACUGGGCGUAAAGCGCACGCAGGCGGUUUGUUAAGUCAGAUGUGAAAUCCCCGGGCUCAACCUGGGAACUGCAUCUAAUAGUGGCAAGCUUGAGUCUCGUAGAGGGGGGUAGAAGUCAAGGUGUAGCGAGGAAAUGCGUAGAGAGCUGGAGGGAUACCAGUGGCGAGGGCGGCCCCCUGGACGAAGACUGACGCUCAGGUGCGAAAGCGUGGGGAGCAAACAGG
Molecule: ribosomal RNA, 429 nt
Filed under: Chloroflexota bacterium
Lineage: Bacteria; Bacillati; Chloroflexota
Description: Chloroflexi bacterium partial 16S ribosomal RNA
Rfam family: Bacterial small subunit ribosomal RNA
Source: RNAcentral